GACGAACGCUGGCGGCGUGCCUAAUACAUGCAAGUAGAACGCUGAAGAGAGGAGCUUACUCUUCUUGGAUGAGUUGCGAACGGGUGAGUAACGCGUAGGUAACCUGCCUUGUAGCGGGGGAUAACUAUUGGAAACGAUAGCUAAUACCGCAUAACAAUGGAUGACACAUGUCAUUUAUUUGAAAGGGGCAAUUGCUCCACUACAAGAUGGACCUGCGUUGUAUUAGCUAGUAGGUGAGGUAAUGGCUCACCUAGGCGACGAUACAUAGCCGACCUGAGAGGGUGAUCGGCCACCCUGGGACCGGGACACGGCCCAGACUCCUACGGGGGGCAGCAGUAGGGAAUCUUCGGCAAUGGGGGCAACCCUGACCGAGCAACGCCGCGUGAGUGAAGAAGGUUUUCGGAUCGUAAAGCUCUGUUGUAAGUCAAGAACGGGUGUGAGAGUGGAAAGUUCACACUGUGACGGUAGCUUACCAGAAAGGGACGGCUAACUACGUG
Molecule: ribosomal RNA, 497 nt
Filed under: uncultured bacterium
Lineage: Bacteria
Description: partial 16S ribosomal RNA
Rfam family: Bacterial small subunit ribosomal RNA
Source: RNAcentral